ACCCGCUGAACUUAAGCAUAUCAAUAAGCGGAGGAAAAGAAACCAACAGGGAUUGCCCUAGUAACGGCGAGUGAAGCGGCAACACCUCAAAUUUGAAAUCUGGCGUCUUUGGCGUCCGAGUUGUAAUUUGCAGAGGGCGCUUUGGCAUUGGCAGCGGUCCAAGUUCCUUGGAACAGGACGUCACAGAGGGUGAGAAUCCCGUACGUGGUCGCUAGCCUUUACCGUGUAAAGCCCCUUCGACGAGUCGAGUUGUUUGGGAAUGCAGCUCUAAAUGGGAGGUAAAUUUCUUCUAAAGCUAAAUACUGGCCAGAGACCGAUAGCGCACAAGUAGAGUGAUCGAAAGAUGAAAAGCACUUUGGAAAGAGAGUUAAAAAGCACGUGAAAUUGUUGAAAGGGAAGCGCUUGCAGCCAGACUUGCCUGUAGUUGCUCAUCCGGGUUUUUACCCGGUGCACUCUUCUAUAGGCAGGCCAGCAUCAGUUUGGGCGGUUGGAUAAAGGUCUCUGUCAUGUACCUCUCUUCGGGGAGAACUUAUAGGGGAGACGACAUGCAACCAGCCCGGACUGAGGUCCGCGCAUCUGCUAGGAUGCUGGCGUAAUGGCUGU
RNAcentral lists this ribosomal RNA (603 nucleotides) under uncultured fungus. RNAcentral's name for it is "eukaryotic LSU rRNA". It matches the Rfam family "Eukaryotic large subunit ribosomal RNA", at positions 23 to 641 of the family's 3401-position model. Lineage: Eukaryota; Fungi. The record is from RNAcentral.